Molecule: ribosomal RNA, 253 nt
Filed under: uncultured bacterium
Lineage: Bacteria
Description: partial 16S ribosomal RNA
Rfam family: Bacterial small subunit ribosomal RNA
Source: RNAcentral
UACGGAGGGAGCUAGCGUUGUUCGGAAUUACUGGGCGUAAAGCGCACGUAGGCGGCUUUGUAAGUUAGGGGUGAAAGCCCGGAGCUCAACUCCGGAAUUGCCUUUAAGACUGCAUCGCUUGAAUCCGGGAGAGGUGAGUGGAAUUCCGAGUGUAGGGGUGAAAUUCGUAGAUAUUCGGAAGAACACCAGUGGCGAAGGCGGCUCACUGGACCGGUAUUGACGCUGAGGUGCGAAAGCGUGGGGAGCAAACAGG